This 374-nucleotide ribosomal RNA is filed under the name uncultured organism. Its description in RNAcentral is "bacterial SSU rRNA". It matches the Rfam family "Bacterial small subunit ribosomal RNA", at positions 526 to 896 of the family's 1533-position model. The record is from RNAcentral.
CGGAGGAUGCAAGCGUUAUCCGGAGUGACUGGGCGUAAAGAGUUGCGUAGGUGGUUAUGUAAGCGAAUAGUGAAAUCUGGUGGCUCAACCAUACAGACUAUUGUUCGAACUGCAUAACUCGAGAGUGGUAGAGGUAGCUGGAAUUUCUAGUGUAGGAGUGAAAUCCGUAGAUAUUAGAAGGAACACCAAUGGCGUAGGCAGGCCACUGGACCAUUUCUGACACUAAGGCACGAAAGCGUGGGGAGCGAACCGGAUUAGAUACCCGGGUAGUCCACGCCGUAAACGAUGGAUACUAGCUGUUGGAGGUAUCGACCCCUUCAGUAGCGAAGCUAACGCGUUAAGUAUCCCGCCUGUGGAGUACGGUCGCAAGACUA